GAUGAACGCUGGCGGCGUGCCUAAUACAUGCAAGUCGAGCGAACGGACGAGAAGCUUGCUUCUCUGAUGUUAGCGGCGGACGGGUGAGUAACACGUGGAUAACCUACCUAUAAGACUGGGAUAACUUCGGGAAACCGGAGCUAAUACCGGAUAAUAUUUUGAACCGCAUGGUUCAAAAGUGAAAGACGGUCUUGCUGUCACUUAUAGAUGGAUCCGCGCUGCAUUAGCUAGUUGGUAAGGUAACGGCUUACCAAGGCAACGAUGCAUAGCCGAUCUGAGAGGGUGAUCGGCCACACUGGAACUGAGACACGGUCCAGACUCCUACGGGAGGCAGCAGUAGGGAAUCUUCCGCAAUGGGCGAAAGCCUGACGGAGCAACGCCGCGUGAGUGAUGAAGGUCUUCGGAUCGUAAAACUCUGUUAUUAUGGAAGAACAUAUGUGUAAGUAACUGUGCACAUCUUGACGGUACCUAAUCAGAAAGCCACGGCUAACUACGUG
RNAcentral lists this ribosomal RNA (497 nucleotides) under uncultured bacterium. RNAcentral describes it as "partial 16S ribosomal RNA". It matches the Rfam family "Bacterial small subunit ribosomal RNA", at positions 28 to 507 of the family's 1533-position model. The record is from RNAcentral.